Molecule: ribosomal RNA, 1368 nt
Filed under: metagenome
Description: bacterial SSU rRNA
Rfam family: Bacterial small subunit ribosomal RNA
Source: RNAcentral
AGAGUUUGAUCCUGGCUCAGGAUGAACGCUAGCGGCAGGCCUAACACAUGCAAGUCGAGGGGUAACAGGAGAGCUUGCUCUCGCUGACGACCGGCGCACGGGUGAGUAACGCGUAUGCAACCUACCUUUAACAGGGGGAUAGCCCGAAGAAAUUCGGAUUAAUACCCCAUAUUACUAUAGAUAAGCAUUUAUUUAUAUUAAAAACUCCGGUGGUUAAAGAUGGGCAUGCGUAACAUUAGAUAGUUGGUGAGGUAACGGCUCACCAAGUCUACGAUGUUUAGGGGGCCUGAGAGGGUGGUCCCCCACACUGGUACUGAGACACGGACCAGACUCCUACGGGAGGCAGCAGUGAGGAAUAUUGCGCAAUGGAGGAAACUCUGACGCAGCCAUGCCGCGUGCAGGAUGACGGCCCUACGGGUUGUAAACUGCUUUUAUACAGGAAGAAUUUUCCGCACGUGUGCGGGAUUGACGGUACUGUACGAAUAAGCACCGGCUAACUCCGUGCCGGCAGCCGCGGUAAUACGGAGGGUGCAAGCGUUAUCCGGAUUUAUUGGGUUUAAAGGGUGCGUAGGCGGGAUAAUAAGUCAGUGGUGAAAUACUGCAGCUCAACUGUAGAACUGCCAUUGAUACUGUUAUUCUUGAGUUCGAUUGAGGUAGGCGGAAUGUGUAAUGUAGCGGUGAAAUGCUUAGAUAUUACACAGAACACCGAUUGCGUAGGCAGCUUACUAAGUCGACACUGACGCUGAGGCACGAAAGCGUGGGGAGCGAACAGGAUUAGAUACCCUGGUAGUCCACGCUGUAAACUAUGAUCACUAGCUGUUGGCGAUACAUCGAUCAGCGGCAAAGCGAAAGCAUUAAGUGAUCCACCUGGGGAGUACGGUCGCAAGAUUGAAACUCAAAGGAAUUGACGGGGGCCCGCACAAGCGGUGGAACACGUGGUUUAAUUCGAUGAUACGCGAGGAACCUUACCUGGGCUUAAAUGCAGAUUGACGUUUCGGGAAACCGGAAUUCUCUUCGGAGCGAUUUGCAAGGUGCUGCAUGGUUGUCGUCAGCUCGUGCCGUGAGGUGUCGGGUUAAGUCCCAUAACGAGCGCAACCCCUAUCGUUAGUUGCCAGCGGAUCAUGCCGGGGACUCUAACGAAACUGCCGGUGUAAACCGAGAGGAAGGUGGGGAUGACGUCAAAUCAGCACGGCCCUUUAUGUCCAGGGCUACACACGUGUUACAAUGGUCGGUACAGAGGGCAGCUACCUGGUGACAGGAUGCUAAUCUCGAAAGCCGGUCUUAGUUCGGAUCGAAGUCUGCAACUCGACUUCGUGAAGCUGGAAUCGCUAGUAAUCGCGUAUCAGCAACGACGCGGUGAAUACGUGC